UACUUCUUCCCUUUCUUCUUUUGUUCCUACUACUCCUACAUCUUAUUCUCCCCCUGAUUCUCCCAUUAGGAAAAGUACUAGAGUUACUCACCCUCCUUCUCAUCUGGAAGAUUAUGUCUGCUCCUCUGUCCACUCUAAUUCUCCUCCCCUUCAUGUCAAUUCUAAGGUAUUUGUUACUGACUUGUACAUGUAUGAACCUCAAUUUUACUAGUAGGCUUCUACUAACCCUGCCUAACAAGAGGUCAUGCUACAAUAAU
Molecule: long non-coding RNA, 257 nt
Filed under: Capsicum annuum
Lineage: Eukaryota; Viridiplantae; Streptophyta; Magnoliopsida; Solanales; Solanaceae
Description: long non-coding RNA (CANN_LNC022081)
Source: RNAcentral